Molecule: transfer RNA, 62 nt
Filed under: Oides maculatus
Lineage: Eukaryota; Metazoa; Arthropoda; Insecta; Coleoptera; Chrysomelidae
Description: tRNA-Cys
Source: RNAcentral
AGUCUUAUAUUCAAAAAUGAUAUUAAAUUGCAAAUUUAAAGGUAAAAUAAAUUUUAAGGCUU